This 465-nucleotide ribosomal RNA is filed under the name Vreelandella stevensii. Its description in RNAcentral is "partial 16S ribosomal RNA". It matches the Rfam family "Bacterial small subunit ribosomal RNA", at positions 338 to 795 of the family's 1533-position model. Lineage: Bacteria; Pseudomonadati; Pseudomonadota; Gammaproteobacteria; Oceanospirillales; Halomonadaceae. The record is from RNAcentral.
CCUACGGGUGGCAGCAGUGGGGAAUAUUGGACAAUGGGCGAAAGCCUGAUCCAGCCAUGCCGCGUGUGUGAAGAAGGCCUUCGGGUUGUAAAGCACUUUCAGUGGGGAAGAAAGCCUUGGGGCUAAUACCCUCGAGGAAGGACAUCACCCACAGAAGAAGCACCGGCUAACUCCGUGCCAGCAGCCGCGGUAAUACGGAGGGUGCGAGCGUUAAUCGGAAUUACUGGGCGUAAAGCGCGCGUAGGCGGUCUGAUAAGCCGGUUGUGAAAGCCCCGGGCUCAACCUGGGAACGGCAUCCGGAACUGUCAGGCUAGAGUGCAGGAGAGGAAGGUAGAAUUCCCGGUGUAGCGGUGAAAUGCGUAGAGAUCGGGAGGAAUACCAGUGGCGAAGGCGGCCUUCUGGACUGACACUGAGGCUGAGGUGCGAAAGCGUGGGUAGCAAACAGGAUUAGAUACCCCAGUAGUC